Molecule: ribosomal RNA, 490 nt
Filed under: uncultured bacterium
Lineage: Bacteria
Description: partial 16S ribosomal RNA
Rfam family: Bacterial small subunit ribosomal RNA
Source: RNAcentral
AUUGAACGCUGGCGGCAUGCCUUACACAUGCCAGUCGAACGGCAGCAUGAUCUAGCUUGCUAGAUUGAUGGCGAGUGGCGAACGGGUGAGUAAUACAUCGGAACGUGCCCUGUAGUGGGGGAUAACUAGUCGAAAGAUUAGCUAAUACCGCAUACGACCUGAGGGUGAAAGUGGGGGACCGCAAGGCCUCAUGCUAUAGGAGCGGCCGAUGUCUGAUUAGCUAGUUGGUGAGGUAAAGGCUCACCAAGGCGACGAUCAGUAGCUGGUCUGAGAGGACGAUCAGCCACACUGGGACUGAGACACGGCCCAGACUCCUACGGGAGGCAGCAGUGGGGAAUUUUGGACAAUGGGCGAAAGCCUGAUCCAGCAAUGCCGCGUGUGUGAAGAAGGCCUUCGGGUUGUAAAGCACUUUUGUCCGGAAAGAAAUGGCUCUGAUUAAUACCUGGGGUCGAUGACGGUACCGGAAGAAUAAGGACCGGCUAACUACGUG